UACUUAGGUGGCAAGCGUUGUCCGGAUUUAUUGGGUUUAAAGGGUGCGUAGGCGGCCCUGUAAGUCAGUGCUGAAAUAUCCCAGCUUAACUGGGAGGGUGGCAUUGAUACUGCGGGGCUAGAGUACAGAUGAGGUAGGCGGAAUUGACGGUGUAGCGGUGAAAUGCUUAGAUAUCGUCAAGAACACCUAUAGCGAAGGCAGCUUACUAGGCUGUAACUGACGCUGAGGCACGAAAGUGUGGGGAUCAAACAGG
RNAcentral lists this ribosomal RNA (253 nucleotides) under uncultured bacterium. RNAcentral's name for it is "partial 16S ribosomal RNA". It matches the Rfam family "Bacterial small subunit ribosomal RNA", at positions 524 to 776 of the family's 1533-position model. The record is from RNAcentral.